This 497-nucleotide ribosomal RNA is filed under the name uncultured bacterium. RNAcentral describes it as "partial 16S ribosomal RNA". It matches the Rfam family "Bacterial small subunit ribosomal RNA", at positions 28 to 507 of the family's 1533-position model. The record is from RNAcentral.
GAUGAACGCUGGCGGCGUGCCUAAUACAUGCAAGUCGAGCGAACGGACGAGAAGCUUGCUUUUCUGAUGUUAGCGGCGGACGGGUGAGUAACACGUGGAUAACCUACCUAUAAGACUGGGAUAACUUCGGGAAACCGGAGCUAAUACCGGAUAAUAUUUUGAACCGCAUGGUUCAAAAGUGAAAGACGGUCUUGCUGUCACUUAUAGAUGGAUCCGCGCUGCAUUAGCUAGUUGGUAAGGUAACGGCUUACCAAGGCAACGAUGCAUAGCCGACCUGAGAGGGUGAUCGGCCACACUGGAACGGGGACACGGUCCAGACUCCUACGGGAGGCAGCAGUAGGGAAUCUUCCGCAAUGGGCGAAAGCCUGACGGAGCAACGCCGCGUGAGUGAUGAAGGUCUUCGGAUCGUAAAACUCUGUUAUUAGGGAAGAACAUAUGUGUAAGUAACUGUGCACAUCUUGACGGUACCUAAUCAGAAAGCCACGGCUAACUACGUG